Molecule: non-coding RNA, 669 nt
Organism: Cricetulus griseus (Chinese hamster)
Lineage: Eukaryota; Metazoa; Chordata; Mammalia; Rodentia; Cricetidae
Source: RefSeq, a predicted model, not a curated record
CAGGGUAUCUGAUAUGAAACUCCCCCAAAGGAGUCAAGACCCACAGGCUGAGAACCAUUGGAAUGGAACUCAUAGAAAGAGAAAGAUCUAGGCUCACUUUCCUAUGCUUGGAACACCUGGGCUCAUGCCUCUUUCUAUCCUGAUACACAUCAGUGCCAUGGACCAGACUAGAAAGGCAACUUCUAUUCUCCAUUCCUCAACUCUACCUCAGGCAGAGGCCGGCUGCCUGGGAAAGGAUGUGACCAUAAGAGAGACAGCUAUCUUCAGUGGGGACCUGGUGGAGGAGCUGUCACCACUUCAAGCCAUUGUGUUACAGGGUGGAGUUCCUGAACUUCCUGGCAAUCUGAAUCCACUUCUGAGUCUUUAAUCUCAGGCCCUGGUGGGAUGACUCAAGCCUGGCUUCUCUGGAACAGGUCCUACAGAGCAAGACACUGCUCGAGAGCCAGAGCUAGUGAGCAGCAGGGGCUGGAACAGAACCCUGGCUGCUUGGAGUCCAAUAUCCCAUCUUUCCUGCAGUGGGGAGGGAUAGGAGAAUGCUGAGCUGUACAACAUCUGCUUUCACAGCUGCUCACCACUGUGUUCUCCGUGCAACUGGGGACAGAAUGGCAUCUGACAAGCAGACGCACUGGGAGCAUGGGAUAAUGUGUAGAUCUUGGGGUGAAGGUAAUA